RNAcentral lists this long non-coding RNA (42287 nucleotides) under Manihot esculenta (cassava). RNAcentral describes it as "long non-coding RNA (MESC_LNC010679)". Lineage: Eukaryota; Viridiplantae; Streptophyta; Magnoliopsida; Malpighiales; Euphorbiaceae. The record is from RNAcentral.
AAAAAAAAAAAAAACCUUGAGAUCUUAUCAUGAAGAAAGUGUUCUUCUUGGUGCUUCUUCAAGUGAUCGCUAUUUUAAUAUCGGCUGAUCAAGUUUGAAUUCUCCAUUAUUUCCUUAUAACUUCGAUUCAAGAAGGUAUUCCUGUAAUCCUAAUUUUCUUAGGAAACAAAAGGAGAAGAGAAAGUAAAAGAAAAUAACAGGGAAAAUCCUCUCUCUCUCUCCCUUUUUCUCUCUGAUUAUAUGUGUUUGUUGAUUUCGAAGGUGGCGAACCAGAGAGGCUCAGGCGAGUACUUCAGGUACCCUGCUAUUGCAGACAGUGGCGAUGAUGACCAAGAAGAGAGACACCCACAAAUUAUAACCUCAGAAUCGAUGUUAAAUCAGCCAGUUCAUGUCACACAAUCGCUAGCUGCGUUUCCUGGUCAUGGCAGUACGGGGGAGAUGUCUGCAAUGGUUUCAGCUCUUACUCGUGUGGUUUCCGGCCAAGGAGCUGGUGACUGGGGAUAUGGAACUGGUUUCGGCGGUGCAAUAACAUCUAGUUAUGGUGGUUUUGGUUCUCCAGCUGGUGUUUAUUCAUCAUCAUCUUCUUCUUCUUUAUCACCUCCUUUUUCUGCUUAUUCGUCUACUUCUGGUUCUGGUUCUGGUUUCUGGAUUGGACAAAAGAGAGGACGUGAAGAAGAAGGUGCAGUUCAGUUGAUUGAAUCUGAGCCAAGGGUUUAUAGAGGGUUUGGUGAUUUCACAAGUUCUCAUGGAGAUUCUUCUUCUUCUGGUGCAACUCGUGAGUUUCUUUCCAUUGAAUCUGCCAUUCUUUUUCUAAUAUGUUUUCACUUGUCGGAUACAAACAUCAUAUAUUGCAUGUAAUAAAAAUUUUAUUCUCAUCUUUAUAAUCAAAAGCUUGAAUUUGUCAGCUUCAUGAAAUCAUCAGACAUCUGGAAAGUAUCAAUACAACAGUUCAUUACACUACAGAAUUUAAAUAUAUAUAUAUAUAUAUAUAUAUAUAUAUAUAUAUAUAUAUAGAUUUUCUCUAUUUUCUUUGUUCAUAAUCAAUCUUUUAUACCAUUUACAGUAACAGAAGAGCCAGCUGCUUCAAUUAUAGUUCCCACCGCCACCGCUCCCGCUGCACCACCGACAUCAUCAACUGAAACGGUAUCUUAUGAAGAAACCGGCGAGCGGAGAAGAAGAUACAGAGGAGUUAGACAAAGGCCGUGGGGUAAAUGGGCGGCUGAAAUACGUGAUCCGCAUAAAGCAGCAAGAGUCUGGCUUGGCACAUUCGAAACAGCGGAGGCCGCCGCCAGAGCUUACGACGAAGCUGCUUUAAGAUUUAGAGGAAAUAGAGCUAAACUAAACUUCCCUGAAAAUGUCAGAGUGUUGCCACCUCCAAUGCAAAAUGUUCCUAUUUCCCAAAUCCCCAUUGGUCUUCCACAGCCAUCUCAAUUACUGCCAUUAUCGUCUCAACCACCACAAGAGCCGCAGCAGCCGACGACACUUCCGCCACAAUUCUUUUUGUCUCAGGCUGAUACGAUGAGAGAUUACUGGGAGUACUCUCAGCUGUUACAGAGCACUGGUGACUUGCAUGGAUUUCAACCCUCGAGUUUGAUGGAGCAAAUGUUUUAUAAUCAGCAAUUGGCUUCUCUACAAUCAACUGUUUUGCCGUCGUCUUCUCGAUCUUCAUCGGCUUCAUUAUCUUCAUCCAUUUCAGCUCCUCCUUUUGCAACAUCUUCUUCAGGGUCAUUGUCAUCAUCUUCUUCAUCCUCUGCUUCAUUUCCUCUGAUUCUGGCUGGUCAACAAUUGGGUUAUUUCCGGCCCCCACGAAAUCAAAAUCCGCCCACUGGUUCUGAUUUGCCGGUGCCGCCAUGGUCAGAUUCUACUGACCACCCUUCCUCUACUGGUUAAAGUUGAUUCCACAUUUUUUUAGUUAUUAUUUUGUUCUUAUCUACUUUCGAAAUUUUAAAAUAUGUUUCAGUCAUUAUUUUUUUUCUUUUUCCUACAAAUCGCUCAGAUUAAAAUUCAAAGAAAGAUAAAAAUCCAUUUUAAUUAUAAUAUCGUUAUUAUUUUAUAAAUAUUGUUGAUUUUAUAGUUUAAGCAAUGAACAUUUUGAACAUUUUACGAUUUAUAUCCUAAUUGUUUCUUCCCUUUGCUGGAUUUUUCCGAUUUUAUUCGGUUUAUUAUAAAUUUAAAAUAUAAAUAAAUAAAUUUUUUAUAAUAAAUAAAAAAUAUAUUAGUUAAAAAGAUCUUCAUAAAAUUAAAUUUAAUAAUUAAAUAAUUAUUUUUCCCUAUUGCAUCACGGCUGCUAUUAUUUAAUGAGUCUAAUCUAUGGGCAAUCCACCACAUUUGAUUUAUUGGAAAAUUGAAGUGAGUUGCAUGUGAGAAUGAAGUUCUUUCUGGUGGCUGAAUUGAAUUUUAUUUAAUUUUCAAUUGUUGGAAGUGAAAUUUUGGUGGAUUAGUCAAACAUAAAGAAUUUUGGAAACCAAACUUUUGAUUUCUUUAAAGAGAAGAAAUUUAAUUAGUUUUUACUGUUAGAUUUAAAUCGAAAAAAUUAAUUAAAAUGAAUUAAUUUAAAUUUUUAUUUUUAUUUUUUAUUUAUUUUAAUUUGAUUUAAUUUUUAUUUAAAAAAUUAAAAAUUUAUAAAUUUGCAUGUUUAAAUUUCAGUCAAAAUUAUUUAUAAAAGAAAUAGAGACAAAGAGCUGCUUUCAAGGACAUGAUGUCCUAAUAUUCACCACAUCAUAUUUGAUUAAAUCGUUUGAAAUAUUGAAGUUCUUAGGUCACUUUCAAUCCCUUGAUGAUAAUUUCAAGGAGAAUAAUUCUUGGUUUGAUUUGGGGAAUUUAAAAUUAAAAAAGUUAUUUUUAAUUAUACAGAGUUUCACCAAAUAAUUAAUCAAUAAUAAUUUAAAUUUUAAAUUAAAUAAAAUACUUAUUUUAAUCAAUUGAAUAAAACUAUUAUCAGUUCGUUUAAUUUAAUUUAGAUAGCUAAAUUAAAAUAAUUGAAUUGAAUUUUAAUUUUAUAAAAUUAUUAUUUUCCUUAAUGUGAUUAAGCCUUAUAAAAAUUGAAAAUAGGACCAUUUUCUAUGAAGAAUAAUUGAAGUUAGAAAACAGAUACCUUAUCGUUUUAAUUUAUUUAAAAAAAUUAUUAUUUAAUUCCUUAUUAGAAAUUUAUUAGUUAAUUUUUUUAUUUUAGAAAAUAUAUUAAAAUAUAUAUAAUAUUUAAAAAAAUUUAUUAACUAAUAUUAAAUUUAAACUAAACUCUGAAAAAAUAAUUCAAACAAAACACGUGUCUCAAAUUUUUAUAAAAAAUAAGUUAUUUUUAUUUUAAAUUAAUAUAAAAUUUAAUAAAUCUCGUCACCACUAUACUGAAACACGACAUAUUUACAGAAUCAAAAUUGAUAAAAAAUUUUAAUAUUAUAUUAAAUUUAUAUUAAUCUUAACUUAUCUCAAAAAAUUAAUUUAAAUUUAACAAUUAAUUCAUCUAUAAAUUUUAAUCCAUUAAAUAUUAUAAAAAAAUUUAAAAUAUAUUUAAUAUAAAUGAAUUAAUUAGUAGAAUUUUAUAAAUUUAAAGAGAUAAUUAAUAAUUUAUUUUUAAAUUACAGUAAAAUAUUUUAAAUUAAUUAAUAAAUUUUUUAGAAUGUUAUAGAUAUAUUAAUAUAUUUUUUAAAAUUAAUAAAUAAUUCAUUUAUUUACACUUUAAUUAAAAAAUUAAACUCCAUCAAUUUCGUCAGUCAUCUCCCACUGUUUUCUUUCUUAUUUUGUUCGCCGAGUAAAAUUUCAAAAGUCAUUGUUCUAAAGCGUUAAUAAUUUUCAAAACUGAAAAAAUAAAUGAGAAAAGUUCAAUUUUUUUAUAAUUUAUUCCAAUUUAAAUUCAAUAUUUCACGGUGAAUUACUUUCACAAUAUUACCAUUUCGGAUUCACUGGUUAUAUAAAACAUAUGUCCCAUCUAAAGCGACAGGUGUCAGUAAGCUAUUGGUGUGCCGGAAACAAUAAUGAAUCACAAAAAACGUGCAAUAUGUUUGAAGACGCUGAAACCUUUCAACUUGUGAACAAUCGUUUGGUACCGACCAAAUAGAAAAUAAAAGAAAAAGAAAAGAAAUGCGAUUGUUCUGUCGAUGUUGUCUCCUUAUUACAUUGUAAUAUUACUAAUAAGGAACCUUCUUUAAGCUUUUUGGCCCUUUUGGUCAUUGAAAUAAGACCCCUCCUUUGCUUUCGACAUGUCUCUCAAACAUUCUUUUCAUUCCUUCUACACUUCUUUUCUUUUUGAAUAGCAAGCAAAUGCAUUGCAUGAUUACAUAAUGCAGUGAAAAAUUAUAAAACCGACUGAAAAAUCUCUAUAGAUAAAAUCAGUGAUAAAAUUUUAUUAAUAUAACAGCCAAUUAACUGAAAUAUAUAUACUCAAUUUUUACGUUAUUUUACAUUUUAAUUUAGGUAUUUAAAUUUUUAAUAAAUUAAUUUGAUAUUUAUAUUUAAAUAUAAUUUUAAUUAAUUUUUUAAAAAUAAAUAUGAGAGUUUAAAUAGCAUAUUAAAUAUAAUAUUAUUUUUAAAUACAAACUAAUUUUUUUCCGUUGUAUCCGAAUUCUGUUGCACCACGAGACGCUGUCUGCGAAUCGAAUUGUUUGGGAAUGCAACCUUAAUCGGACGGAAAAUUCCAUCCAAAACUAAAUACGGGCGAUAAACCGAUAGCGAAUAAAUACCGUGAUUCGGCAUUCAAGAGCACAGUGUGGCAGUUAAUAAUUUGAGAAAUCAAUUAAUAAGGUGAUAUUUUAGAUUUUUUAUAGUAUUUAAAAUUAAUAAAAAUAAUUAGUAGACUUUUUAAAAUAUUAAUCACAUUUUAAUAUAAUUUUUAAAAUUUUAUAAUUAACUAAUAAAUUUUUUCAUAUCAUAAAUACUAAAUAUUAAUUUUUUUAAAUAAAAAUCCCUUCCACUCUUUAAAUUCUUAAAUUUUUGUCAUCUACUUUCUUACACUCCUUUUGAUCCAUCAAGUGUUUAUUUAUUUAUAAAAAUUAAAUUUAAAAUUAUUUUCUUUAAUUUUAGAGAUUAAAACGUUAAAUUUAAAAUUUUGAGAAGUAAAUAUGUUAUUAGAUUAUAUUUAAAAGAUAAAAUUUUUAUUAAAAUUUUUAUUAUAUUUAUUGAAUUUAAAAUUUUAAUUUAUUAAAAUUUUUAUUUAUUUAUAAAUAUUAAAUUUAAAAUUUAAAAUAUAUUAUUUUAAUUUAUAAAUGAGAUUUUAUUAAUUGAAAUAACACCUACAAAUUUAUUAGAAUUAAAUUUAAAAAUUAAAGUAUUGAGUUUUAAAAAAAAAUAAUUUAGUUAUUUUUUUAUUAUUAACUGUAUUUUUUAUAAAAAAAUUUUAAUUUUAACAAAAUUAAAAUAAUAAAAUUUAAAAAUAAAAAAAUAAAUUUAUUAAUUACACUAUAAAUAAAUAAAAAAAUUUCCUAUAAAAAGUUUAAGAUUCUAUUCUUUGAAUUUUUUUGUAUUUAAAACUACUUACUUUAGAUUAUAGUUCACGUCUCAGCGAAAGCAUACAAUGACAUCAUGUGUCUCUUGUAUGAAUGUCUAAAUGGAUGAGUUCUGAACACGUGGACGAACACGUCAGAUGGCAAAAUUUUAAAAUUAUAUUUUUUUGUCAGGAAAUUAUAUUAUUUAUUUAUACGAAAGAUGUGCACGGAUUAUUGAUUAACAAAAGAAAAUUUAUAAUUUAUAAUAUACAAAUUUGAUUUUUAUUUGUAUGUAUUAUAAUUAUAAUUUAUAAAUAUAUUAUUAAUUCUAAAUUAAAAAUAAUUUAGGUAUAAUUUUUAUAAUGAUUUUGAAACUGGAUUAAAAACCUUAAUAAAUAAAUAUGAUAUAAUUCCAAUUUUUAAGUAAAAAAAAUUAAAAAAUGGCACACUUUUAAUUCAGAGGAUGUAAAAAAAAAAGUGGUCGGCCCAUGAAUGCCACGUGCAAAAGAGUCAGAUUUGAAAGUGACGUAAUAAGAAAAUAAGAUAGAAGAGAAGAUAGCACAUGGGCAUGCGUGCAAGAGAGGAGUAGACGUGCACCGCUUGUUAACCAUUGAUGCUUUGGUUUCUGGAAACUUUUUAUCAAUCCUGGCCAUUUUUAAUUACUUUUUGUUUAAAAUUAUCUGUUACUUGAAAAAAAAAAUUAUAAAUUUACUUUUUUAUUAAAACAAAAUUUUUACUUUCAAAUUUUAAAAACUUAAUUACAAUAAUUAUUUUUAUGUUUUUUUUAAGAAAAUGAGAAUAUAAAAACUUAAAUUUCCACCGAUCAAAUAAGCAAUAUAUCUUAAUUAUUAAAUUAAAUCAAAUAAUAUUUGAUGAAAAAUAUUUUUAUAUUUUUUAAUAUUUAAAAUAAAAAUUAUAUAUAAUAACUCAUAAAAAAUUAUUAAAUAAUUUAAAUUAACUAUUUUAAAUAAAAUAACAACAUAAAUUAAAAAAUUAUUUGAAUUCGUUUAAAUUAAACUCUUUCGAUUGGUAUUAAAUCUAUCCGAAUUAAAAAAUUAUAGAGAGUUCGUGGAUGAUAAAAGGUCUAUCCGUAUAAGACGAGAUAAAGCCGCUCAAAAUAUUAAUAAAUUACAAUAUUUAAUGAUUCGAUCUUAAUUUAAUAAUUAUAUUUAAUUCAGUUAUUUCGAGCACAUUACAAAAAUUUAGUAGGAAAUAUUGUGACAUUUUAUGUCGAUAAAAUAUAAAAAAUCAAAAUUUAUAUAAUAGUUAGAGUAAAAUUAUUAAAUAAGUUAGAUUAAUAUUUUAAAUUAAGUUAUAUUAGGCUGGAGUGUUUUAUUAUUUUAUUUUUAAAUUAAAAUUAAAUAAUAAAAAAUAAAUUAUAUUUUUAAAUAUUUUACAUAUAAAAAAAACAAAUCAUUAGGUUAAAAAAUGCCAACUGUAGUAUGUUUAAUCCGACGUGUGGUUGUUUACCUAACUAUUUUGGGAUGUGUGGUGUAUUUUCCUUGUAAUUUUACAUCUAUAAUUAAAUUAUUCACCGUAAUUAUAUGGAUAUUUUAACAUUAAAACUUACUAUAAUCGUAAAUAUUAUUGAUUUAAAAAGAAUUAUUAAAUAGCAUCGUUAAAAGAGAUGAUAAAGAUGAAGUGUGAUGUACCAGACAUUAGAUAUGUAUCAAAUCCAACAGCAUUCACAAGCAAACUGUUGAAGGGUUUGGUUUAUGUCCUGUUAACACAGGACAUGAAAUUGAAGUCAGUAGCUUAUAGGGGAGAAAAACAUGGCACUAAAAUGCAAAAGUUAGGUUAACCAUAGAGUAUCUUAUAACAUACAUUAAUUUUUUAUGUGUUUGAGAAUUUUCUGAUGAUCAAGAUUUGAUUUCUCUCUAUUUUUAAAUUUUUUUUAUAAAAAAUAAUAACCGUCGGAUAGGGGUGAGCAGUAUUCGGUUCAAACUGAAAAAACCGAUCGAACCGAAUCGAUUUGAAAAUUUAGUUCGGUUUUUUAUACAUUUCGGUUCGGUUUAGUUUUUAAUUUUAGAAAUUUCGGUUAUUUCGAUUCGGUUCUAAUCAGAAAAAACAGAAAAAACCGAAUCGAACCGAUUAGUGAUAAUAAUAUAUUUUUUCAAUAAUAUAGAGAAAUUAAAUCAUAUUAAGAUUAAAAUAUUUUAAUUAAAUUUUAAAAUAUUAAAAAUAAAGUGUAAAAAAUAAAAAAUUAUUAAAAAUCGAAAUAGAUUAAACCGAAUCGAACCGAAUCAGACCGGUUCGAUUUGAUUCAGUUUCUGACCAAAAUCGGUUCGGUUUGGUUUUUAUAAACACUAAAAAUUUGAUUUUCGGUUUAUUCGGUUCGGUUCGGUUUUGAACCGAACCGACCGAAUGCUCACCCCUACCGUCGGACUUUUUACAUUUUGAGGUGAGAUCGGACCUUAGAGAAAAGUACAGACCCAAAGUCUAUCAAGCGAUUUUCGAGCAAACCAGUUAAACGUUGCAGGCUUUAACUCGGCGUUGUGAAGCAAGUCGGAUCAGUCAUACGUGCGGGCCUAACAGAAGAUAGUCUAGUUUGGUGACAUGAUAGGGAGUAAGAGAGUAGGUCUAGUUCCUUUGCAGCCCUACUAGCAUGUGUGCAGAGAGAAAUUAAAUAGCCGCUUGACAUAAAGGGGUAUGUUAGUAUCUCUGUACGUACAAAUCUGAGUGACAGAAACAGAUGAUACUGUAGUAAGAUGACGGUUAUGCGUUAUUAGAGGAUAAAAAAAAUGAGAAUAAAGGAGAGAGACGUGAUACUCCCUGACUAAAUUUACACAUAUAGGAUCUCAAAGUAUCGUAAAAUAUGUAUGCAAGUUCAAUAAUGAGGAAUAAUUAGUGUUUUAGUUAACCAGAACACUAAAGAUACAUUAGGUCAAAGUUGCCAUUUGUUUGUAAUGGAAAUGACUGAAACCAAACUUUCUCUUGAUUGAUUAUGGAAGACUAGUAAAGUAAGGGCACCAAAAGACUUGUUGGUUGCGGCUGCUGCCUUCUUGAAAAAGCAUGGUCCCUAACUCUAUGUAUAGUUAGGUGCAUGCCUUGUUUUAGGGAUAAUGGAGAUUAGGGUCAAAGCCUGUGGUGAUUAAAGUCUUCAUUUGUUGACACAAUUUUCAAUCUGUUAGAAGAACAUAUUUUGGAUGUUGGGUCUGGGGGAGUUGCAUUAAUUCGUUUUUAAAUAAUUAGAUCGCUUAAAUUGUAAUAAAAUAUUUUUUAAUUCGAUUAAAUUAUCAUUUAUUUUACGUAAUUACUUUAAUUUUAAUAAUUAUUUUAUAUUAAUUUAUCACUAAUAAAUGUAGGUUACCAUUUCAAAAAGAAAUUAAAGUGAUUGUAUUGUAACAAACAAAUGAAAAAGGAAGGGAGAAACAACAAACUGAAAAUGAUUGGUGUACAUCCAGUAUCAGUCCCAUCUGAAUUUUGUUCUUCCUAGGCAUCAAAUUCAGUUCAUUUACGGGAGGACAUUUUUUAGAAGGGAAAAUUAUUUUUUAAUUCCUGAGAUUUAACAUAAUUAACACUUCUGUUUCUCUAUUUUGGCGACCCAACACUUAAGUCCCUCACUUUAUUUUCUGUCCAAAUUCAUAGUCCUUCCGUCCAAAAUAGCUGUUUAGGACACGUGAAUUGACAAAAUUAACCCUCACUAAAUCCAAACCCAAAUGCCUCUUCUUCUUCUUCUCCUUCUUCUUCUCCUUCUUCUUCCUACCCUUUUCUGCAACUUCUUCUUCUUCUUUCUCCUUCUUCUUCUUCUUCUUCUUCUUCUUCUUCCUACCCUCCUUUCUGCAACUUCUUCUUCUUCUUCCUACCCUUUUUGCAACUUCUUUUUUUUCUUCUUCUUCUUUCUUCUUCUUCUUCUUCUUCUUUCUUCUUCUUCUUCUUCUUCUUCUUCAACCGGAGAAAACAUGAAAGAGAAAGAAAAAAAGAAAUUUCACAUUAAGAGAAGGGUAUUUCUGGAAAAAAUUAUCCCCUCUCACUUUUGACUCUUUGACCAAAUGGUUUAAAUGGACGAAAUGACUAUGAAUUUGGACGGAAGAGAAAGUAAGGAACUUAAGUGUUGGGUCGUCAAAAUAGAGGGACAGAAGUGUUAAUUACGUUAAACCUCAGGGACUAAGAAGUAAUUUUCCCUUUUUAGAAACAUAUUUUCUUCAUUUUCCAGACAUAUUUAAGGUAUAAAAUAAGGUUAUUUGUAUGAAAUAUUCAAAAAAAUUUUAUUAUUUUAUAAUUUAAGUUUAAAAAUUUUAAAAAUUAAUAAAAUUAUCUAAAAUUAAUUUAAAUAGGAGAAAGUAUCUUUUUAAAUAAUGUGGUAAAAUGAUGUAAAUUAUUUUAUUAUAUUUAUAUGCUAUAUAGAUAAAUUUAAAAUUUUUGAGUGUAAUUAUAUCAAUUUUUAAAAUUUUAAAUUAAAUUAUAAAAUAAUUAAAAAUUUUAAAUUUUUUUACUAAUAAUAUUUAUCUAAUGAAUAUAAUAAAAUAUUUCACAUUAUCACAUCAAUAAAACAUAUUUUUAUCGAUUUAAAUUUUAAACUUAUAUAUAACUACAAUAAAAUAUAUAAUUUUAAAUAAUUUAUUAAUUUUUUUAAAUUUUAAAUUAAAUCACAAAGCGAAAAAAUUUAAAAUUUUCAUAUGAUACCUUUAAAUAAUUUUCAUAUGAUAUUUUAAAAUAUGUUAAUUGUUAUAUUUAUUAUCUUUAUUUGGUGAUCCAUUUAUAAUGCUUUACCGAUUUUGAUUAAUUUAGUCGAAAGAGUUGAAAUGCAAAUUCUAUUUAUCUGAUUUAUCAAUAUGUAUUUGAGACUUUAGAAAAUAUAUUUUUUCGAUAUUAUUUUACUCGACUGAUUUGGUUUAUUGGCCUUUGUGCAUAUAAACCUAUCUCUAUUGGUUUUUCCAUUUUUCUUUUAUGGUGGAAAACUAUAUCAUUAUGUUUCAUAAGGGAUACUGAUAGAUCUUUAUUUCUUUUCUUUUCUUCAAAAGUUGUUUUUUUUUUAAGUAUAAUUAUGCCUUAACAAUAUUAAUAUGAUACAUUUUAUAAAGAAAAAAAAUAAUUUUAAUCAUACAACAAAUUAAUAUUGAAUUUGAGUUUAAUAAAAAUAUAAUUAUUUAAAUUUUGAUUUAAAUUUAAAUUAUUUUUAACAUAUAUAAUUAAUUUAAAAAAUUUAGAAUAUGUUUUAAAAAAUGUAAAUGUUAAAUAAUAUUGAUAAAUAAUAAAAUUAUAUGAAUAAAAGAAUACUAUUUUGGAUGCAUCUUAAUCUGUAGAUAGUUUAAAGAUGGAGAGGAUGAAUUCAAGCAAGGUUGGCAAAUAUCCAGUAUCCGUCCCAUCUCAUAAUAUGCAAGAGACCAAAUUCCUUUCUUUUUCUUCUUUUUUUUCAUUUAAUUGACUUGAUCUAUGUCUAAUAGUUGUUUUUUUUUUUUNNNNNNNNNNNNNNNNNNNNNNNNNNUGAAGAAAAAUAUAAUGAGAUAAAAGAUCAAUACAUCCAGAAAAAGACCCAAAGCCUACAAAAUAAAGCCUCUAAAAGGUGUCUAAGAUCCAUAGAACAAACUAACCAAAAAAGCAUCUAAACCCUAAAAUCCGAUCCAACUUAUCUAGAUCGGGUCUAUAUUCAUCUGUGUAAGAGAAAUUUUAUCUAGAUCGGAUCUAUAUUUAUAUGUAUAAGAUGAUAAUGUAGUCUGUAUAAAAUUUUUUAUACAUUUAAAUUAUAGAUCCGUGUAAACUCGAUCCAAGUAAGUAUUUAAUUAAAAAAAUACAUAAUGGAGGGAGAAAUGAUGAUCAUGAUCAUGUUAAUUAAUUAAUUAAAGUCCUGAUGGAGUUUCAGUUUCAUCUUCUACAAUUUCAACAGAAGCAUAUGCAACAGAAUAAUAUUUCUUCCAAUCACCAAUUGUAGCAGAAAUUAAUCCACCGUCAACCUUAGCUCUAGCCAAACCAUUCUCACAGAACUGAACAUUAUCAAGAGAAUAAUGAACGUCCAAGCUCGCAGUGCCACCUUCAAGCCCAUCUAGGUUAAGCAUCCCCACUGUUUCAUUAAAAUGCGCAGCACAAUCCUUGAAAGCUUCCACAGAUGCAGGAUAUUUUGCUUGGCUCGCAAGCCUGUUAAAGAAAUUUCUUUUAACAAUAGAUUGCUUUCUUGCGACUGCCAGGGCAAAAUUCGCGACGGUCCUGAUGUUUGUUGCUGAUAAUAUUUGGGGCUUGGAGUUCAUCAGUGCCAUGCAGAAUCCCAUGUCAUUACUUUGCUUGCAAAUUUCUGUCAGUAACUUGUUUGGAUGUCGUGAAACUUGGAGUGUUGCCUCAGCUUUGGAAGGCAAAUAGAGGGAGAGAGACGAGAAAAUUAUUGCAGAGAUUAUUAGGAAGCUGUGAGGACCCAUUACUCUAUGAAUUGGAAUUGCUGGUUUAGAAUUUGAUGUUGGGAUUUAGAUGAUUUGGUUUCUUGAAAAAUUGAUGAUGGUUUAGAUUUGGGAAUGAGGGUUUUGUAGGGUAAUUGAGAAGCCUAAUUUUGGUGGGUUUGUUGUAGUUUUUGUUCAUUGUCAUGAGAUUAAAAGGCUGGCUUUCCUUUUUAAAUUCUUAGACUCAAACUAAAAUUUAAAUUGAAUUGUCAUUGUGCUGGUAUCAGCCAUUAAUUUUUUGCUUUAUGGUGUAAAUGGUUAAGAUUGUUCUUUUUUCUAAAGGAAUGUUUGUUUAGUUCAAUUACUUUUCUUUUCGAUAAAAUAUUAAUAAGGAUAUAUAAUAUAUCGUACACAAUUGAGAUUUAAAGGGUUUAAAUUUGACUCGUUAAAAUUUUUCGAAUUUUACUCAUUUUAAAAUCUUGCGGAAUAUUAAUAAUUUUAAGUUUAAUUUAUUUAGCAAGAUGAAUUAAUACUUUAAGUUUGAUUUGUUUAGCAAGAUGAACCAAUGUUUUAUAGUGUCUAAUAUUUUAUGAAGAGUGAUUUUUAUUUAAUAACUAUAAAAGUUUUACUUUAAAAAUAAUAUAUCUGAAACUAAAUAAUUUUAAUUAAAUAAAUACAUAUAGGAUUAUAAGUUGGUUCAAAUUUAUUAAAAAUAAACUCUUAAAUUUUAAUAAUCUAAAUAUCUAUAAGUUCUAAAAGAGUAAUGAAAUUGUGUAGGCUGAUUUUUAGAAAAUUCAAAUUUAACUCAAAAAUUUAUACAGAUUUUGAGUUAUUCUCCUGGGACAUUGAGGUCGGUCUACUUAAGGAGCAUGUUUACCAGCUAAGCCGCGAACACACUCAUAAAUUUGAAAAGGAGCUGAAUAUUGUAGAGUUUAAACUCGAUUCGUUCAAUGAACGAGCUUAAAAAUUAAAAUUGAGUUUAAAUUAUUUAGAAAUUAAAUCGAAUCCAAUUGAAUUUUUAUGAAGCCAAAAUUUUGAAUCGCUCAUAUAUAUCUCAAUUCAUUUAUAUUCCUAAAUUAAAUUUUAUUCGUAUCAAAUCGGUUCAUUAAAAAAUAAUAUUUAUUUUAAGUUUAUUUAUCAAAAUCAAUAAAAAUUAAUUAAUAAUUUUAAUUUUAAAAAUAUUUAUAAUAAUUUAUUUAAAAUAUAAUUUAAAUUCUCAUAAUUUUUUAUAUAUUAAUAUAAAAUAACUUAAAAAUUAGUAAAGAUACAUAUAAAUAACUUAAAAACAGAGUGAAGAAGCGACUUGCAGCUGUUGAUUGAUCCAUUGUUUUUGGCAGCGCAAGAUUUGUUGUUGUUAUUAAAUCUGUUAUUGAUGGGUUGUGGGGAUCUGAUUUCAGAGGUUGCAUGCAUUUGAUGAGGUCUUUGCUUACAUUGCAUACAUCAGACAAUAAUUCUUCUGUCGUAGGUUUCUUUAUCGGUCUUGACUGACGUGAAACACAAAUACUGCAUGGAGUCUCUACAGUAUAGAGAAUUAUAAAUAAUUAUAUUUUUCACUUUUAUGUACUAAGUGAGAUUUCAAGAAAGAUAUCAAAAUUAGAAUUUUGAGAUAUUAUAUUAUAAUUUUAUAGCGUAUGGAUUGUAAAAAAAUAAUAAUUAAAUAAUCGUAAUGAUUUCAAUUCACUCAAUUUUAUUAGCAAAGUGUGUGGAUGAACGUGAUACUGGGCUCUAUUCUUUUGUUUUUUAGUUUCUUUUGUAGAGCAAAGAAGUUGAGGGAUCAGGUAGAUAGAAGAAAAUGAUUAACAUGCAAUUUCCAAUUUUGAUUCCUGCAACUAGACAAACAAGUUACAGAAAAUGAGAUGAUUUAAAAGUUGAGUGUUAAUAGAUUUUUCACUGAAAUUGAGGGGUGAAUUAUUUCAAAAAUCCAAAAUUUAAUAUUCCUUUGCAAGUUAAUUUAGAAUUUUGCCACAAUGAUUUAGUUCCCUAAAAGAUUAAAAAAAGAAAAUUAUACCCAAAAGUACAAGUUUCUCAUCAUUUUCAAAAUAUAAAAACAGAAGGCACCAUCAAAUGUUCUAUACUUAGGAUUAUAAAUGGAAGACAAACACUGAACCUCAUUUGCCCUUGCACCCUACAAACAAGACAAAUAACUCAUCUUUUCACUUUUAUUUCAAAAAUACUUUAUGGACAAAAUAUUUAAUAAGAUAUUUUUUUUAUUGUUUAAUUUUAAGUUAAAAAUAAAACAUAUUAAUAAAUUUAUAUAAAAAUAUUUUAAUAAACAUUUGAAAAAAUGUGAAAAAUAGCCUUUUUUUCUUUAAUCAUAAUUAUAUUUUCAAUUAAGUAAAUUUUCUGAAUAUUCAGAAAAUAUAAAAAAUAUUUUCAUAAAAAAUAUUUUUUUUAAAGAGAGAGUCUAAAUAAAUCAAUAAUAUUAUUACUUGAUAAUGGAUGAUGAUUUUUUUUUUUCCAAAAGAAAAAAUUGCAUUAAGUACAUCGACUCGUUUUCUCCAGACAGCCAAAGAAAGUCGUACACAUAAUACAAUAUUACAACCAAAGCCCAGACCAAGGCUAAAGUGGUGCUUAGCAGGGGAAAAUCAAGCCCCUAGAUAUACAGCAAUCAGCUACCAGCUAGCUGAAUUUGCAAUGCAAAGUGAACUUACAACUAAUUCAAAACAAAAGAAAAGGGAACAAAUCUGAACCAAAAAAAAAAACAAAACAAAUAAAUAAAUAAAAAUCCACAAUCCAAAACUUCAAAAUUCAUUAUGUUGAAUUCGUUUUCAACUACUAUCUGCAAUAAUGUCGAUAGAAAAGAAGCUUUCCCCGGAGACUGAAUUAUGUCCUGUUACUGAUUGUGAUGCCAACAUAGGUAAAUAAAUAAAAAGAGGAGGGAGCAAGAGGGAAACACUGCAGAGAGAGUUCACCACACAGAAAUGGAUGAACUGUUUUCAAGUCUUGAAAGUAAUUAUUUACACAAAGAAUAAAGCCAGCACUACAGAUUCAAUCCAAUCCAAGGUAAUAGACGUUCAAGAAUUUAGAGGACCCAAAAAAGAAAAGAAAAAAAAAAACAGUACCCUCUUUUAUCUUAAACAAUUACAAACACAUUCCUAUUGACUGCACUCCACCACCCGAUAACAUAAGCCCUCAUGCCUACACUGGGAACUGAUUUUUUUGGCUCCCAUGAUCAGAUAAUUGUAAGUUUCUAAUCAUUAGCAACUUCAAAAUUAGGAAGGAGAGCAUCCAAACAAAUAACAAUCACCCAUGUAGAUGCCAUGCUAAUAUCAGCAGAUUAAAAAACUACCUAUCAUCAUUGGCGCGGUUCCUUAGCUGUGACGUAGCUUCUGCUUUCAGUGACAUUAGAGUUGGCAAGGACCUCUGGUGCAAUUUCCCAGCUCCCACUUCUUCUUCCCCAACUGGAAUGUCUAGUGUCUGACCGAAUUGUGGGAGCUCGAUGAUCUGAACUGUGAACUGAAUCCACCUCUGAGAUAUUAUGAGGAGGCCCAUUGCUUCCCCUGCUUCGUAUGUCCUCGUCAAUUUCUUCAAUAUUACGACGUUGGGAGAUUUUCAAUAGAUCUUCACCUAUCUCGAGAUCAUCCUCAACUUUUGGACGUGGAUCCCCACCUAUCUCUUCUGGUUCUGCUUCCCUAGUACUGGGCAAAGUAGGCCUCGGUACCUCCUCUUGAACAAAUGCCCGAAAGUUGUUUUUUGAGGGCUUGACCUCUGUGCAAAAUACUUCUAGAAAAUUAUGAACACAACCCAGGUUGUACACAUUGAUUCUGUUGUCAGCUCUGUACCGGAAAUUUUCAUAUGUAGUCUGGAUAGGAAGAAAUACAAACAGUUUAAUCCAUGUAGAGGAUGCACAAAAUGGCAUCGAUACAGAACAAAAAGGACCAGAUUUAAGGAUCAUGAAAUCAUAAGCAAUCCUAGUCACUUCAAUGAAUUCCUGGGUACUUUCACUUUGUAUUCCUUUCAGGAAUAGAAUACAUUUUUACUCCAUUAGAAUGUAGACAUACCUCCGAUGGUCACACAAAUUUAUGAUUCUUCAAAUAGUUCAGUACUUUGUCCAACUUAAAAUAAGAAAAAAAAUUCAAAAUAUAAUGAGCCUGACAAUCAGCUGCUAUUGCUCAUAAAAAUGCAUAUUGUCCAUUUAAAACUUCAACUGAUUGUGCAGGUCUGACAUUAAUAAACCACUGAGAAUGUGAAUGUCUUCAAUUUAAAGUUGCAAAGCUUUUUCAAUUAUACUGAUUGUUGACCUCAUAAUCCAAAAUGAAAAGUUAGAUACCACAAAGAUAGUAAGAUAUAGACCAGAGUCCAUAAACAAGAUCUUGGCUGAUUAAACUCAUCACAAUCAGAUCAACCCCUUAAUUACCAAUCCAAACAAGAGAAAUAAACUGACCUGGUUUGUGCCUAUGAGGUACAAAUGGAAGCCAGUAAGUCCACCAACAAACCAGAGGGAGAUGAAACAAUAGGCCAUUAAUAUGACAGAUGCUGGUGAUUCUUUCAUGGCCCUCCAGACUGUGCUUUGGUAAUUAUCCAUUAGAAUUUUGAUGUACACAGCUGACAUUGCAAAUACAUAGAUGCAAAGAAGAGUUGCUGAAGAAACAAACAUGAAGAAGAAACGGUAGUUGCGCUGCAGAAUAUAAACAGAAUCAGAUUUAAAACACCACCACAUUGAUGGAUCAGAGUAUUCACAAUGUAAACUCAGAAUGUAAAAAAUGAAUGCAACAUAAGGAAAAUAACUUCCAUGAGAAAAGCAUACCAAACCAAUGCACUGUCCCACCCAAGGGCAAUGAUGAUCAAAUCGUUCCACACAGUUGUUACAAAUAGAACAAUGGGAGCAACGGGGAGGGCGAUAAAGCAUGCAUGUAUCACAAUACUUUACUCGAACAGGAAUGCCAUUAACCAUAACUUCCUUUGUCCGAGGGAACUGGAGGCUUGGUGUUUGUCUUCCCCCAGCCUCAACUGACACAGAAGAAUCAUUGCGGAACACUUCCUCUGGGGGAUGUGAAUUUCGGGGGACAAUACCAGGGUCCCGGGCUGAUGUGAGAAAAAGAAGAACCAACACCUGUCAAAAUCAAUCAAGAAACUUAUGUAAAACAACCAGUGUCAAUUAUAAAGGAACUCAUCUAUAUUCGCUACUGUCCACAAGGAUUCUACUAUAAAUAAGAACAUUCAGGAAUAGCAACCAAUGAACCUUCAUCCAAGAAGACAUACUUCUUUAUGCAACUCACUUGAAGAGAAAUGUUAGCUGCAGUCACUUUUUUAAUGGACUGUCCAUCACUCUCCAUUUUAUUAGUUGAAGUACAUAAUAAAUAGAGAUUAAAUAAGGAGAGAGAAAAUAACAAUUAAUAUAAUAAAUAUUUUUCAACCAAUGGGAUAGGUUGGACAGUCAUUUAAAAAAGUGAUUGCAGCAAGCAGUCCUCCUCACUUGAAAUAUAAACCAGUCAUAAAAAUGAAAAAAACUAUCAAAAAUCAGUAGCAAAGGCCUUGAGCACAUCCAAGUAUACAUAAUAAUUACUUGCAAAAACUCAAGAUGACCAUACAAUUCAGACUACCAUUUUUAGGUAGUUAAAAUUUGGGUAAAUACAUAUAAAACAUUAUUUAAAAUUCCAAAAGAACAACACUGUUUUCUAAUCAUGAAAUCAAAAUCAAUUGAAUUCACCUGAUCAGAUUGCCUGAACUAUUGCCUGAACUACAAAUGUCAUUUCAAAUUGUCAAAUAAUUUAAAUUAUUAUAUCAAAAUACUAUAAAAUAUAAAAAUAAUUAAAUACUAUAAAAUAUACAAAUAAUUAAAAUCUUCAAAAACAUCUGUCUACAAGCCCAGUACAUUAUUUUUGUAUGGCUAAAAUAUUCAAUUUCGUCUCUACACUUAUUAGGGUUCAAUUUAACCUAUUAUCAACUUUUUGUUUUUUCCAAAUUAGCUAAGAAAUUUCAAUUUAAGCUCAAUUUAGCCAAAUAAUCAAAAUUGCUACGUUGAAUUUCUUGAUCUAGCCCAAUCAAGAAACUCAAUUUCUUAAUUUUUGGGCUAGAUUAAGCUUAUAUUGAAACUUCAAAGAUAAUUUGAAAAAAAAAAAGGUUGAAAACUGGCUAAUAUGAACAUCCCAAUGUAUACGGGUGGAAUUGACCAUUAACGCCAUCUUUUUUUGUUUACCAAAUCCAAAAUAGAGUCUUCAUAGUAAAAUCAUAACCUUUUAAAGUCAAAUAACACCAUUAGUAUUAACCGUACUAAAGUAACCUUCAACCUGUAAAAGUUUCUAUGAAUAAUAAUUUAAGGUGUCAUAGAAUAGUAACAAUUUGAGGUGAAAAAUGAUACUAGAAUCUUAAUAUGUGACAGAUAAAAAAAAAUGAAAACUGCAAAAGCUGAAUGUUUACGCUUGAAUAAUUUAGUUUUGGAUUCAAUUUACAAUUUGGAGACUUAGUGACAACGAAGAACUCAUUGUUUGAAUACAGUAUACAGGGGGAAAACUGAUGAAUAGAUUCUUCCACGGUUCUAGAAGUGUUUAUUCGUCCCCAUAAAUUAUCUUACGACUAAUGUUAAUUGGAUGAUUUAUGGGCAGUUGGCACUUCUCAUCACAAAUCAUAGUCUAUUAGCCUUCAUAGAACUCCUAACAAGCCAAGUACAAAUAAAAGAUGCAUGCCCCCUUGUUGUGCUUCCAACUUGGGGCCAAGAAAUGGAUGCAUCAGUUCCUUAACUUAUAAAAAACUAUACACAAAAAAUUAACAAAGAAAGAAAGAAAGAACGAAUAGAAGGCAUACUGCAAAGAUCAGCAUACAGUGUCAAAAAUUUUGUGGAGAUGUUAAAGUUAUUGGACACUGAAAUAGAGGCAUCCUAUCAGGCUGCCAUCCUAUCCACACAUAUGCAUGCUCAGGCACAUCAAGUUCCUAUAAAAUCCUAGUCUCCUACUAAGGAUUAGCGGUCAAGCAUCAUGUAAUUAAGAAAACUUACAUAGAUAGUAAAGACAAUUGCUACCACCAUUAUCGCAUAUCCAGCAUUGUAUGGUGAAAAUUCAUGGCGAAGGUGCCUCGCAACAAAUACACAAAAGAUUACAACUGGAACAAUUAUCAGCAACAACGUGAUAAUCAGUGAACGAGCAUCAGGUCCAAAUAUCAACCUCCCACCAAGGAUGAACUUCUGUAACGGAUGGAUAAAAGAGACUUUCAGAUGCAGUAAAUCUAGAAUAAUGAAUCUGAUUGGUCAAAGAAACAACAAAGAUUUUGUUUUAUGCUUCUGAAGAGCUGCUCUUCUUAUUCCUUUUCUUCUAUUUUUUUAGGGAAGAGGGCUAAUGCGAGGGAGGGGAUUGAAACAUGGAGCACAUCAUCAAUUGGAACUAUAAAGUCAUUAGACAAUUCAUGCCAGAGUCACUUUUAUAGUAUUAUGGAUGUAAAGUAUUAUGAAUGUAAUUGGCAUGCUGCAGAAGUUAAGGGUUUUAUGCAAAGCACUGUAGCACACUCCAUUUCAUUCCACAUCUUACAAGUCACAAGCAAAAGAAAUUUCUCCAAUGACAUGUAGUAAACAUGAAGCCAAGUUUUUUCUAGAAAAAACUAUCUCACAAAAGUUACACUUCACCGCAAAAUCGAAAAUAACUGGCAAUUCCGUAAAAGGAAGAAUAACUAAAUACCUACUACCACAAACAUAAGUCAGGAAUGGAGAAAUUCAUUAGUAAAAAUAAAGCAAAAGCCAAAUUCCUUUCAGUCAUUGUCACUACUGCAUCAUUUUGAAACCAGUGAGGAUCUCUGAUGAUCAUUCAUGUAUAAAAACAUGCUCUUCCAGUCUUGUAUAACUAUAAGCAAGGAAUUUAAUUACUUCUUAGCUAUUUAGAGGCAUCUUCCCCAUGUUCAGCCUGUAUUCAAGGCAUAAUACAAAUUCCAAUAGGAGCAUGUGUCGGUGGGUGGGUGUGGGUGGGUGUUUGCACAUGCGUGCAUAAUGUUGUGAUUUGAUUCAAGGGACAGGACAGGACAAUCCCUCUUCAUCCUUUAAUUCGAGCACCAAUUGGACAGAGGAAAAAAGUUCCAGGCCCAACCCUUCCUUUUUCUGUCCCCAACUUCUUUCACGGGAGAAGCUACCCCAGUCCCAAGGACAAAAGUGAUAAAUUCUAAUGUAUAAAUGUCCCAAUGAAAAAAAAUUUUAUAUAUAUAUAUAUAUAUACACACACACAUAUAUCACAAUUGAAAUUUUUUAACCUAUUUAAUACUAUUAUGUUUAUUUGUUUCAUUCAUACUUUACAUAUUAAUAAUUUUAUCCCACAUCAACUGAACAAGCAAAACUUAAUUCCUCUAGAUCCUACCUUACCAUAUUACUGCACAUGGCACACACACAAAAAAAUGAUCAAUAUACCCACUGCUCAUCAAAAAUAUCAAGGAGCCGUAUUCCAAAUAGACCAAGAAAGAGAGUAGUCAAAACAUGUGAGAUUCACUACUUUUAAAUAUAGAAGACCAACAUUUCAAUAGUGGCUCGCUAAGUUUUCUUAUCCACGGCAAAUAAUUGGUGUUCAUGAUAUUGAAAACCAUGGACUUGUCACUAGAUAAAGCCCUCAAGUCCUCAACUUCCAAUAAGACAGUGGUUACAGAAUACAGUUAGGCAAACAAAACAGACAUACAAGGAAGUCAAAGUGUAUCUUCAACAUGACAUAUAUGAAAGACAAAAAGUGUUAAGAAUGUCAAGUAGCCAAUCUUCAUUACGUCAUCAUUAUGAAUUCUAGAAUUAGGAAAUUCCAAGAGAAUGAAUUACCAGAAAGAAUAAGAAAACUUGUAAUAGCUACCUCAUUGUCAUCCAAAUGUUUAAUAUCCAUUAGCAAAAAUACAACUUAGCUAUGCAAUGAAGAUUUAAAGAAAAACAAAAAACAAAAUAAUCAAAAGGACGCUAUCCUUUUAAGGACCCCUCCCUGCUAAUUUCAACGUGCUAAUUCUGAUUUUGGCUUUUAGGCAGUCAUCCAAAUGUUUAAUAUCCAUUAGCAAAAAUACAACUUAGCUAUGCAAUGAAGAUUUAAAGAAAAACAAAAAAACAAAAUAAUCAAAAGGACGCUAUCCUUUUAAGGACCCCUCCCUGCUAAUUUCAACGUGCUAAUUCUGAUUUUGGCUUUUGGGCAGAAGCAACCGGUAACGACUGAAUUGUGUUUUUAAGUGAGCUACCUUCUUUAGUUGGAAUUCCAUAUUGUGGACUCACAUUGAGAGACUAAGAGAUGAAAUUGAUUACUGCAAAGAUGACAUUAAAGAACUACAUAAUAAAAUCAAUUACCAUAAGGAUCAGUUAGUUUAUAUAUGUCAUCAGAUAGAUAACAAAGGUCGUGAUUGUGCGUUAUGUUGUUACUUACAUAAUCAAUAUAGAUAAAUUUUACUAGAUAAGGAAAGAAAACAUCGAGAUAUCCAACAAAUUUUACAAGUUAAAGGAAGGGAGUUGGAAGAAUACAAUUAAGAACUUGAAGAUGAACAACAAAAGCAAUUUGAAGUUCAAGACGAACAAAAAGAUGAAUUUGAAGAUCAACUUGAAUAUGAAAGGGAAGAAAUACAGAUAGAACCAUCAGAACUUUGAUUGUUGAGCAUUUAUAUUUGGAAGAUUGUUCUAGGAACACAUGUUGAAAAUUUUCUUCUAGAGAAAGAAGCUGAAGUUGAUGAGGAAAAGCUUGAAAAAUCCAUUCUAGAAAACAAAGAAAAUCAAGCCACAGAAAUUUCAAUUGAGAAGAAGGAAAAAUCAAGUCAUGGAGAUGACAAGGAAAUUGAAAAUUUUUCAAUUUGCAUUGUUCCCAGUGAUUUGAAGAGUAUCAACUUAUUGUCAUUGAUUUUCUAUGUUUAUAUAUUUCACAGGAUGCAAGAAAGUGUGAAGCUCUUCAUUUCAAUCUCAUUACUACCAUCAAAGAAGAUAAAGUUCUUUGCUCCCCAAUCCAAUUAUUCAUUAUUCCACACUAUAAAACUUAAGGUCAAGUCUUCUUCAACCAGGGGAGAAUCAUGCAGUACAGGACGAAAACUAAAUUUAAACAGUAAAUUCAUUGUAGAACUAGAAUGUUAGAAAUCUAUUAUUUAGGAACUGUGUUACUAUACUUAGAAAUUCUAUUGUAUUUAGUAUCAUGUUUCUAACUUUUGUUUAUUGGUUUAGCAUUUUAAUGUUUUGAAAUUCCUAAUCCUAACAGGGAUUGCUAGUAUACAAAUAUCUUCACAAUUUGGCAAUUUUUCUUUGAGCAAAUUAUUACAAUUAUUAUUGAGAAUUAAAUAAAAUUUUGAGAAUUUGUUUUUCUCCCGUUUGUAUCUUGCAGAUUUAUUUCUCUUGACAUCUCUGGUUUUGUCUUGUUCUACAUCACUUAGUUUAUUGUGAACAAUAAGCAAAGAUUUCAAAAUAUUUUCCAGGAAGAAUAGCCAGCUAUACAAGCACAAUCUAUUUUCUUAAAAACACCAUACACAAAAAUAAAAGUGUGCAAGGAGACAAUUGCCUCAAACACUUAAACAUACCCUUCAACUUGUUACACCAGACAGAAAAUUCCAAAAUACACACAUCCUAAAAGCUCUCGCAUUCUUUCAACAAACCCUAAGUGCCCAUCUAAACUAGCUCAAUGUCAUUAUAAAUUAAUAAUGAUAAUAACAACAACAACAGAAAAACAAGCCUUUUUAACCUUUCAAAUGUCAGUAUGAUAUAUGUGUACAUGUAAAGAAGACAGGCUAUAAUUCUGUGAAGUUCCAGAAAGAAGAGUAUAAAGAAAAUACAAUUGGUUGCAAAAAGCAAAUAAAAUUGGUUAGCAUCUUCUCUCUUCUCCAAUGCUUUAUAGGCAAUAAUAUUUCAUGUACAUAUGGAGGACAUGUCCCAAAUGGGAAAAAAAUAUAUUGUCUUACAUUUUCAUGUUUCCUAUCAUUCUCCUGCACUCAGGAGUAAGAGCACACUAUUUUCUCUAUAUUGCAAUACAUCUUUAUCGUUGAUAACUGUAUCCUAUCUAAUAAAUGGCUUCCCUCAAAGGGUCCCUAAGCCUUCAUAAUGUAACAUGUCUUAGAGCAGAAGAAACAGCUGCUUUGUCAAAUAUAAUAAGUGCUCGGAGUCUAAAAAAAAGUAGUAAUGGUAAAAAUGUGUCUGUGUGCUCACAUAAAAAAAAAAAUUAAUAAAAUAGAAAAACAGCAACAACUGAUAUGCCAGUGAUAAUAGCACCAGGAAACCUAUCAAUAUAAUAGUUAACUUUUUUUUUCUUUAUACUACAUGCAUACAUGCAUACUAUAUACAUAAAAACAUACAUAUAUAUAUAUAUAGAGAUACCAACCCAAGAUUACAAGUUACACUCUUUUAGAUACAAAAAAGUGAAGCACAAGUACUAAACCGAACAAUAAUAAGCACAAAACAUUACAAUGCCAUCUCAUACGUUUUCUAAAAGCAACAUAUAAGGGUCUUGAGAACUAUUUUGCACAAAUUUUGCACAUCAAAAGUACAAAUCAAAGUCACACGAUUUCACCACCCAUUGCUCCAUUCAGUUAUUAACUCGUCCACUGGUCCCAAAAACCCGAGACCUCAGUUUGAUUGCUUAAUAAAUGGAAAGAUUAGCACGAAUAAAAUAGAAGUAUUCAGCUGUAAAACUAAUACAGCAAUAUACCAAGUGUUCCAAAUACCCACACCCCAACUUUCCCUAUAGUUUUUCCUCGUAUUUCUCAGCAACCAAACAGGGAACGACUAACACAGUGGAAUACAUGGCAAAUUUCAACCCUCAGAAAGAAAAGGAGAGUGAGAUAUAAUGUACAAACUCAAAUUUGGCUCAGCCAAACAAAACCCACAAAUUGCAGAGUAAGUAAAGCAAAUCUAAACCAAUACCCAUAUGCUAAAAGCCAACCAUUGACAAAGAUUCAAAACCCGAAAUACAAAAACCAAUCAGAGCAUAUAAAAGGCCCUCACAUUACUUCCUUUCCACACUUCAUAAACGCGCUUCGCCAUGACAGUAACUCUCACGCGCCGCCCCCUUCUUUAUCUUCCACUUACUACGCAGGCACGGAGUCGAAGAUUUCAAACUUGGUGUUCCCCCUGUUCAUUUCAUUUCAAUUCAAUUUCAUUCAAAAAAACCCAAACCCGAAAAAUAAUAAAUCAGUGGCCAGGUGAAAUCACAGAAGGUGAUUGAUAGAGUAAUUAUGGGGGUUUGGGCCUGGGUUUUUGGGGAUUUUACAGAAAUUAUUACACCCUCACUCAAUGAGAGAGAGACAGAGAGAGACGAUCUGCGAGAUGGCGGUUUGUGGGUUUUGGAAUUUUGGGACUAGUGUGAGCGUUUGUGAUUGUGUGAGCGAGAGAUGGAAUGUUUUCUCUUUUUUUUUUUUUUAUAAAAAAUUUCUUUUUUUUUCAAAAAUGGACCUCUUCGUCUUCUAUAUGGUAAAGGGAGGCUGCUGUUGAACAUUCAAAUAAUAAAAAUAAAUAAAUAAAUAAACAAAUAUAUAUAUUGUUAUUAAUCUUUUAAUUGUAACCUUAUAAUAUUUAUUUUUAGAUAUUUUGUCAUAACAGUUAUUUCUAUUAUUAAAGUAAAUAUUGAUAAAGAAAAUAUACUUUAAUUUUAGAAAAAUAUUUAAAACACCAAAUUGAAGAAAACUAACUAUUAUUAAAACAUUAACCCUUCAUUUGAAAAUAAUAAUUUUAUAAUAAUUUAAUUUAAUUAAUUUUUAUUUCAAAUAAAAAAAUUAUUAUUUUUUAAUUUAAAAUUUUUUAUCAUGUAUAAAUUAAAAUUAUAAAAAGAUUUUGAUAAUUUAAAUUAUUUUAUUGUAAAAUCAUUCAUACUAAAUAAGUGAUGAAUAUAACAAUUUUUUACUCUUACUCUCACAGUAAAAUUAAGAGCAAAAAUAGAAUUAUAGAAAUAAUUACUCAAUAAAUUUCAUAAAAACAAAUUUACUUUAACUUUUAUAAUUUAAGAAAAUUGAAUCAAUAUAAUUAAAUUAUUAAAUUUUAGUAAGAAAGUGGAGAUGUAUGAAUUCAAACCUUGCUUUACUAGAUUAACUAUACUAGAUUAACUAUACUUUUAGCCGUUAAAACAUGUUAAACUGGUUAUUGAAUUAAUAAAAUUUCAUCAAAUACAGAGGGAUAUCAUUCUAAAAAAGAGACGAUUAUACCUAAUACAGACGAUUAUUUUUAAGAGAGACAGAUGAUUAUACCUAAUAAAUUCUCUAGCUAAAAUAUGAACACGACAAACCUAUUUAAUAAAAAUAUUAGUUUUAGAAUCAAAUAAAAAUUUAUAAUAAUAUUUAUAUAUUAUUUUAUAUAUUUAUUUUUAAAUUAUUAUAAUUUAAAUAUAUAAAAUAAUAAUUUAUAAUAAUCAUUUUAAAUUCGGUAAUUCUUUCACAAAUAAAUAGAAAAGUUAGUAGUGCUAUCUAUUAUAUUUUUUAAAUAAAUUUAUUUUAUUAAAAAAUAUUAUUCAACGAACAGGCACGAAUUAAUAUAUAAAAUAGCUAAAGUUGAAUCCAUUAUCAGAAAAGAGCUCAAGAAAAUUUUCAAGAAAGAUGUUGGACGAGCUGCUGGCUUGCUUCGUCUCCACUUCCAUGACUGCUUCGUUCAGGUGAUGACUGUAAUAUUUAUCUUUUAAUAUUCUUUUUGUUUCUCUCUCUCGCCAAUCGCCGUCGUAUAUUUACUUGAAUUAUUUCUGUGCAAGAGAGAGAAAAAAACUUUAAACUCUUAUUUUAAAAAGAAAAUAACGUUACAGGCAGGAUCUAGAAGCAUCCUGCUUUCUUAUGUAGCUGACAAGUACACGUGCACAUCUUGUGCCAAUCACAGCCCUAUUACAAUGGAAAGAACAUAAAAGAAACGACACAGUUUCAAUCAAUAUAUGCAUACACGCUCAAUAACUAAAACGAUGCAGUUUCAACACCCCUCCUCAAGUUGAAGCUGGUAAAGGCAGUAAAUUCAACUUGCCAGUAAGACUGUCAUUGCGAGAUGCAGGCAAUGCUUUCAUAAAGAUGUCUGCCAAUUGUUCUUGAGUGGGGAGAUGACUAGGUAGAAUAAAGCCUUGUUGGAGUUGGUCCCAGACGAGAUGGCAAUCUAUUUCAAUAUGCUUCGUGUGCUCAUGAAAUAUUGGGUUAGCUGCAAUGUGCAUUGCUGCCUUACUGUCACAAUGCAGUGGAAUGGGCAGCUGGAUGGCAACCUGCAAGUCCUGUAAAACAUAGCUAAUCCAAAGCAACUCAUAGACAGUGUUAGCCAUUGCACGAUAUUCAGCCUCAGCUGAAAACUUAGAAACAGUGGUUUGUUUCUUCGUCUUCCAAGAUAUGAGGCAAGGACCCAAGUAUAUGCAAUAUCCAAAUAGAGACUUCCUUGAAUAAGUACAGGCAGCCCAAUCAGAGUCACAAUAGGCAUUCAAGCAUAAAUCAUUGCUCACAGGGUAAUGAAGCCCCUGAUAAAGGGUGCCGUUGAGAUAACGAAGCACAUGUAGAGCAGCCUCCCAAUGAGGCUUUCAGGGCAUGCUCAUAAAUUGACUUAAGUGUUGCAUGGCAUAGCAUAUAUCAGGCCUUGUAAAAUUAAUAUAAAGAAGCCUCCCAAGGAGCCUUCGGUGCAUGUCAGGCUCAUCAAGAAUUUCUCCUGAAUCAGAAGUUAAAUGUAACCCUUGAGGUAGAGGACAAGAGACUGGUUUACAAUAAAACAUCCCAGCAUCCUUUAACACAUCCGAAAUGUAUUUAGUUUGGCUGAGAAUAGUUUCUUGAGAAGAUCUAGCAAUCUCUAGCCCCAAAAAAUAUUUCAUAGGUCCCAAAUCUUUGAUAGUGAACUUUGAGUCUAAUGCAAGCUUGCAUUUAUCUAUAGCAUCAAUAGAGUUUCCAGUCAAAAUGACAUCAUCAACAUACACAAGUAGAAUCAGAAUCAAAUUGCCAGUGUGUUGUGUAAAGAGGAAGUGGUCAUGAGGAGAUUGAACAAAGCCUAAAUUUUUUAGAAAAUUAGUAAACUCAAUGUUCCAUUGCCUGAAGACUUGUUUAAGUCCAUAUAAGGACCUUUUAAGCAAGCAAACUUGCCCUGGUUGGGCUUUGUGAUAGCCCUGAGGUGGUGUCAUGUACACCUCUUCAUUUAGAUACCCAUGAAGGAAGGCAUUGUUAAUAUCCAAUUGAAAUAUUGGCCACUGUUUAAAGGUGGCCAUAACGAUGAGAAUUCUUACUGUGGUAAGCUUUGCUACAGGUGAAAACAUGUCUUUAUAGUCCAGCCCUUCUAUUUGAUUGUAGCCUUUGGCUACCAAUCGGGCUUUAUACCUUUCUACGUCUCCAUUGGGUUUAAGUUUAACUUUGUAAACCCAUUUGCAUCCUAUUGCCUUUUUAUUCUUAGGCAAAGUGGUGAGUAUCCAAGUAUUAUUGGUUUCCAAGGCCUGAAGCUCUUGCUUCAUGGCCUCAAUCCAAUGGGCAUCUCUGGAUGCUUGAGAAUAUGUGCAAGGUUCAUAAACCUUAUUGACAUUGCAAAUAUAAGACUUAUGUGAUGGAUGAAAGGACAUAGAAGAUGUGUACAAAGAAUUCACAUAGUCCUACAUCCAAACAGGAGUCUGUCUGUGUCUUUGAGUCCUUCUAACAAAGGGACUUUUUUGAAGACCAUCAUCGGUAUGACUAGAUCUAUAAGGAAUAUGAUUUGGAGAAUCACAUUCAAUCACAGGUAUAGGAACCACAGAAUCCUCUAUUUCACUUGACCCUUGGAAGGGAAAGAUAUUUUCAUGGAAAAUUACAUCCCUACUGAUAAAAAAAGAUUUAUCAGCAAUGUUAUACAACUUAUACGCUUUAUGAGUGUUGGCAUACCCCAUCAUUAUGGCUUUAAUGGCUCUCUCUUGAAAUUUAUCUUUAUGUGUACCCACGGUAGUUGCAUAGCACAAGCAUCCAAAUUUUCUCAAGUGAGAAUAGUUAGGUAAGGUGCCAUAUAAUCUUUCAUAAGGGUUGUCCAAUUAAAACCCUCCAUAGGCAUUCUGUUAAUUAAGUAGGUGGCAGUUAAGAUGCAUUCUGCCCAGAAUUGGGUAGGUACUUAGGAUUGCAUUUUCAAGACUCUAGCAGUGUCAAGUAUGUGUCUGUGUUUUCUUUCCACAACUCCAUUCUGCUGGGGAGUGUAUGGGCAGGAUUUAUGGUGUAUAAUUCCCUUACUAGCAAGAAAGAGUUAUAAGCAUGACUUAAAAAUUCCCUUCCAUUAUCAGUUCUAAUGGUCUUAAUGGUAGUGUUGAAUUGAUUCUCUACCAUAUGAAUAAAGUGUUCAAUAAGACCAAAAGUUUGGCCUUUUAAGUGCAUCAUAAAGGUCCAUACGGGUCUACUGUAGUCAUCAACAAUGGUGAGGAAUAGUCUAGCUCCAAUGAUUGAGGUGGUCUUAUAAGGUCCCCAUAUGUCAAUAUGAAUCAAUUCAAAAGGUCUUGAAGCUAGAGUAUGACUUCUAGGGAAGGGUAAUCUAGCUUGCUUAGCAAGAGGGCAGAUGGGGCAGCAAGUCAUAGCAUUAUCACUGAUGUUUAUGCCUUUGAUAUGUUUGAGUUUGUUAACAGAUGCAUGUCCUAGUCUAUCAUGUAUGUCAUUCAUGCUCACAGUACAAUUGUAUAUCCUUUCACAUUGCAUAUAGUUUCUUUUAUUUGAAUCAGAUAUAGGAAUCAUGGCAUUUACAAGGUUGUGAAGAUUAGCAUCUAAGUUCAUGAUCUGAAUUAGGCAAUGUCUAAUCUCAGUUUGACAGAAACUCAUCUUAUUCAGUCUAAAUAGAUCUCUUUGUUUCUUUCCUAUGGCCACCACCUUCUUAUUCAGAGGGUCCUGUAUGAUACAGUAAUGAUGGCAUAUUACAAUACAAUAUCCAUGACUAUUCAUCAAUUGACUAAUGGAUACCAGAUUGUAUUAAAAGUAAGGAAUAUAUAGAACAUCAUUCAGAAGUAAUUUUCCAAAGAGGUUUAGCCUUCCAGAUUGGGUGACCUGUGUUGUGUUCCCAUCUGGAAAGCAAACAGAUAUGUGCUUGUGUAGUGUUUGUAAAGUGAUAAACAAACUGCUAUUUGAGCACAUGUGAUUAGUGGCUCCAGUGUCUAGGAUCCAACUAUCAUCAGUGUCCAAUUGUGCAUAACAGGUUUUAUGAAGGUUAGGAUUACCUGCAAAGUCCAUGAAGUGUGACUCAGGUUCAAGGCAUGUCCCAGGAGCUAGGCUCCCUGUAACGACCCAGAAACCGGACCGCUACCGGCGCUAGGAUCCAGAUCGGCUUAAGGCCGCCGGGACCCGUAGCAAGCCUCCUAUACCUGCUAUAUACCUGAUAACAUCCCAUACAUGAUCAUACAUUUUCAUAAAAACUUGAACUUUUCAUACACCAAGCUUGACCUGAGCAUGCACCAUAACAUUAACCAUACAAAACCCAGACUAGAGCCCUCAUCAAAUGCUCUAGUUGGGUUAUCAUUACAAUAAUCAAGCUUGGUUUUCAUAAACAAUCAUUAAAACAUUUCAUUAAAAAGAUCAUGUACCAAAAGGGAUUAACAUACACUGGGGCCAAUCACAAUUCUAUCCUCAAUACAAUUCUUUACAUUACAUCACAUUAUAGCAUUGUACAAUACAUGUCCACUACUAACUAUACAAACACUCAGCCUCUACUCUUCCUGACCUCCUGGUCUAUCCCGAACCUGCAAACCUGGGGGUUAAGGGAAAGGGGUGAGCUACUAGAGCCCAGUGAGCAGAAUAAUAAAACAUUAUAUAUUAAAACGUAUACUUUCAUGAAAUGCAUCACAUCACAAACAAUUCACAUCAAGGAUGGACUUGUCACCAAUAACCCUCUACAUAUCCAAUGUGCCCAGCCCUCGACGGAGCUCCGCAGGACUUCCUCUUAAUCAUCACACAAUGCCAAGACGCGUGGACAUGGGCAACCCUGGACUUUCAUAAAUCAUACAUAACAAAUGUCAGGACCCGUGGACAUAGGCAGCCUUGGACUUUCAUUAAUCAUCAUAUCAUAUUGAGGGCUAAUGGGUCAUCCAACAUCCAUCCACAUCAACAUCAAGUUAUGCAAUGCAACAUAUUCGUGAAUUCUAAUGCAAACACCCUAGUAUAUAUAUAUCAUGGCAUUCGUGAUGCGUGAUCAUGCUCAAAAUUUAUUUGCUUGCAACAUAAAGAUUCAUUCUACUCACCUCAGACUGACUCUAGGAAGACUCUAAAGCAGCUACCUCACUGCUGGGGUCUUCGGUUCCUCGAGUCCGAACCUAUACAGGUGGACUUAAAUGAGGGACCAAACAUACACUAACAUGACUCUAAACAACUCCCCAAAAACCCCCUAAAACACCUUAAAACAAUCAUAGAAAACAUGCAAAGGAAGGCUGAACAGGGCACUUUCGGCGGCAGGUUCGGCGGCCGAAAGUCCCUCCAGAGCUGAAAGUCGCAUUCGGCGGCCAAAAAUGGUUCCAGAGCCGAAACUCGCCAACCUUCGGGGGCAGGUUCGGCGGCCGAAACUCCUUUCCAGAGCUGAAAGUCCAAACUUUCGGGGGCAGGGUUCGGCAGCCAGAACUGCCUCCCCAGGCAAGUUCGGCGGCCGAACAUUGCUUCGGCUGUCGAACCUGAGUUUUUCCUGAAUGGCAGAACUCAGCCUCAAACAUGCACAUUUGCCUUCCAAACUCUCCAAACUCAUACACAACUCUCCCAAACAUGCAUAAACAUGUACACAAGCAUAUAGGGGUCUCAAACUAGUCUAAACCCCAACAAACAUCACAUUAAACAUGCAUAACAAUACACAUUACCUCAUAUAGCUCACAUAACCCUAACAUUUUACAUCUAGCUUAAACAUGCAUCUCUACCCCAAAAUCCUUCACAAAACUUGCUUAAAACAUCAAAGAAGGUGAGGAUCGACGCUUACCUCUUGAAGAUCGAGAGAAGGCGUGACCCAAACUUGGAGAUUAAGAGGGUUUGGGCUCCGGGGUCUCCAAACUUUCCAACUUUGAUUUUAAGCUCAAAAAAUCUUCAAAACCAAGUUAAAACUCGUUAAAACUUGAAGAGAUUGAAGGAAAAACCUCAAAUCUAACCAUGAAAGGUCAUGGAUUCAGCUCUGCCCGAAAAUGGGGAAGAAAACUCGCCCAUUUUCGGACAUGGAGCCUUUUAUAGGUGGCUGGCCAGACCACCUUCGGAAGCCAAAGGUGACUCCAAAACUCUACCAUGUUCGGCGGCCGAACAUGAGGUUCAGUGGCCGAACCUGGAUUUUCUUCCUUGGUGCUUUUCUUUCAAAACUCAAUUUCUUUCUUACUUAAAACCUUAAAAUAUAAGAAAACAUUUUAGAAAAACAUAUUUUACCCCUUCUAGAGGGUUCCGACAUCCGAGAUUCCGUCGGGAGACAGGAAUUCCGAUGCCGGAGUCUAGCCGAGUAUUACACUCCCUUUUCCUUUGACAAGUUGAGAAACUUCUUGCUUUAGGGAGGUCAGCAUGGAUGUCAGUUCAUUUAUCUUACUUGAUGUAUCAGUAUAAUCAAGAGGAUUGUCCUCUUCAUGCUUAUUUUGUUCUACAGCAGCCAUAAUUUUGGUGUUUCCAUAUCCUUUUACACCUUGUGUGCCACUUUUGUUCUUUGACUUGAACCAAUCAGGGUAUCCAAUCAGUCUAAAACACCCCUCCCGAGUGUGCCCAUUCAUAUUACAGAAGGUGCAAUGCCCCUUCUUGUUGUCAGGCUUUCUUGGUCUGACCUGACUUUGAGUGUAGGUUUUGUUCAAUAACACAAGGGAUUCAGAGUUGUCACUCAUGGCUCCCAAAAUCUCCCUUUGAGAUUCAAAUUUUACCACCAUUGAGUAUGCCUUAUUCACUGUUGGUAAGGGAUUCAUUCCCAAUACUUGGUCCCUUACAGACCCAAAAGACUCGUUCAGUCCCAUCAGAAACUGCAUGAGUCUGUUUCUGUUGGUUAUUUCUACUAUAGCCCUAGAGGCUCCACAUGUACAGGUAGGGAGGGUCUCCAUACAGCCUAACUCAUCCCAAAGUCUCUUUAGCUUAGUAAAGUAGACAGCAACAAGGGCAUUCUCUUGAGACAUAAGAGAAAUUUUUCUGUGUAAUUCAUAUAUCAUAGGGCCAUUGCAUUCUCCAAACCUUUCACAUAUUUCUAACCAGAGAUCUCUGGCUGAAGCAGUGUAUAUAAAACCAUCCACCAGUUCCUUAGAGAUGGAGUUAAGGAUCCAAGAUGUGACCAUGAAGUCACAUCUCUUCCAUUGUUCGUAACCCUCAGAGUCUUUGCUAGGUGCCGAAACUGUUCCUUCGACAAACCCUAGUUUCAUCUUGGCACCUAGGGCGAUUUUAAUCGCCCUGGUCCAUGAUAUGAAGUUUGACCCUAUAAGAGGUGCUGAGACUAGACUCAUACCUGGAUGAUCAGAAGCUUGGAGACUCAAAGGAUCUCCCUUUCCUUGGGCCAUGCCUUGUGAUUUUUCCGGUGCACCCGUCGCCUUCUGUUCCUUGCUACUGUUCCCUCGCUCCGUCGCCAUCAGAUCUCUCAGAAAACCUCUAGAUCUCACUCAUACAGCUAUUGACGCGCCGUCAUGAGUCAAAACUAGGCUCUGAUACCAUGUGCAAGAGAGAGAGAAAAGAACUUUGAACUCUUAUUUCAGAAAGAAAAUGAUGUUACAGACAGGGUCUAGAAGCAUCCUGCUUCCUUAUGUAGCAGACAAGUACACGUGCACAUCUUGUGCCAAUCACAGCCCUAUUACAAUGGAAAAACAUAAAAGAAACGACACAGUUUCAAUCAAUAUAUGCAUACACGCUCAAUAACUAAAACGAUGCAGUUUCAACAAUUUCUCUCGAUUAACGUCUGUCAGGGAUGCGAUAGCUCGGUGUUGCUUGAUGGAUCCGCCGGAGGACCAAGUGAAAAAUCUGAACGGCCUAACUUAACCUUAAGAAAACAAGCUUUAAAAUCGUCAACAAGCUUCGAGAGAUUGUCCACAAACAGUGUGGCCGUGUCGUCUCUUGCUCUGACAUAGUCGCCAUCGCUGCCCGUGAUUCCGUUUUCUUGGUAAUCACCAACUACUGUAACUUUUUCACUUCUUUAAAGAUAACUCAGUUUCUUUUAUGGGUUGCAGACCGGUCUUGACUACGACGUCCUAUUGGGAAGACGAGAUGGAGUAAACUUCGCUCGAGUGAAUCAAACUUUUGUAGACCUAGUAGGACCAGACGCUAACACUACCACCAUUCUCGUCAAGCUUGCUCGGAAAAAGCUUGAUGCCACCGAUGCAGUGGCCCUAUCAGGUUCCCACACCAUCGGCAUAGGCCACACCACAUCCUUCACCGACCGUCUUUAUCCAACCCAAGAUCCUACCAUGGACAAAACCUUCGCCAAAAGUCUCAAGCGAACUUGUCCGAAACCAGACACCAGGAACACAACUUUCUUGGAUAUUCGAUCCCCUAAUAAAUUUGACAACAAGUACUACUGUUGAUCUCAUGAACCGCCAAGGGCUGUUUACCUCGGACCAUUGUUACUAGCUUCGCCAUUAAUGAAACACUGAUAGUUUCCAUGAUCAAGAUGGGGAACUGAACGUUUUGACAGGGAAACAAGGGGAAAUUCGAGCCAAUUGUUCUGCCAGGAACUCUGAUAACAAGCUUUUGGUGUAUGUAGCAGAAGAGGAGAUGGAUCACCUGCUGAAAUGAGAUAAUUAAAUUAAUAAACUUGUCAAAAUCUCACAAUCACAUACGUAGUAUUAACGAGUUUGAUUUUUUAAUUAAGAAAAGUUUAUUUUAGUAAUUUAAUUUUAAAUUUUGAAAAUGAAAGGAAGAAAAUUAACUUUCAACUUAUUUAUAUAUAUAUAUAUAUAUAUAUUUAAUUUUUAAUAAAAACCCUCGUAAAAUUGAUAAACAGUAAUUUUUAAGUCUCAAGAAUUUCUCUUUUCAUGAAAGUUAAAGAUAAGUAUGUUCCCUUCAGAAAAAUAAUAUAAAACGAGCCAAAGAAAAAUAAAAUUCAGAUUUUUUUUAUUUUUGCAAAAUUUAUCUUCUAUCAAAAAACAAUGAAGAAAGCCAUUUCAAAACUUCAUUUUAGAAAUUUAAAAUUCAAAAUUUCUGUUUAAACUUUAAAUAUACUAAUUUCAAUGGUAUUUUAAAUUAAAAUUAACGAAAUCUUUAAAAAUUGCCAUUGUUUAUAAGGCAAGUCUGUGUAAUUUCAUAAACUCUUUAAUUAAAAUAUUUUAUUUAUUAUUUCCAUUAACUUAAUCCUUCUAUUCAUUCUGAUCUAUUUUUUCCGUUAAAAUCUUAGUAAAAUGAAAGAUAAAAUAAUUUAGGAUUACCCUUAUUCUUACAUUUAUAAUAAAAUCUUUAUAUAACUUUCGAAUUCUUUCCCCAAAAUUUUUUCAUAAAUUUUCCUUUCCAAACUGAAUUAAUAGCAUAUAUGGUUGAAUGCUGAUAACCGCCAGAUUUCUUUACCCCGGACCCUGGUUAGACCCAUAGAGAUAGUCCACAACCUGGAGGCCUCAAGGCUUCCCGACCGAGUCUGGCCCAUUCCACUCCACUUCGAGACCAGACUCCUGCUAAACCCGACAGUCAGACCGGCCCAGCCCAUUAGGACCUAAGAUCCGGCCUCUCCUGGAAUUGGCAUUUUUCUUUCUAACCCUGUCAUGAGAAGAAAGGACAAUAAGCCCGGUCACUUCGCAACCCCAUUCGUCCUCGCGCCGGAGGGCAUUAAAUGGCCGCCUGACAUAGGAGAGGUCGCCACAUUAUCCGUACGUACUAGCCCAUACGGAAGAAAAGGUGGUCCUAUACUAGAAAGGGUGGAUACACGUUACUAAAAAAAGAGGAUAAAAAGGGAGGAACACCCCUCUCCAAGGGGGGCCUUUUUUAGAACGCAUUGUAAAUCUUAUUUUCUGGAUCUCAGCUAAUCAAUUGGCGCCGUCUGUGGGAAUGAAGGAGAUCUUUUCAUCGCCGGAGUUCCACUUUUACAAUACCCACUGAGAUCCACAAUGGCCAACCAUAACGAAAGCAACCUUGUCAACACCCCUAAUGAUCUGAGCUCUGCUCAGGAGGGGCAACAAUUCUCUUUCUCUAACUCCACAACCCCAAACAAUCAAACACCAAUCCCCUUCAAACUCUCGCCAAGUUUGGCAGGGAAUACAUCCAGAGUUAACUUAUCCAACCAGGACCUCCAAGCCAUGGCUCUCCAGCUACAAAACACCACCAACUGGUUGGGGCAGAUGAUGCAACAGAGAGGCCUUAGCACCCCGAUGAAUGUGUUGCCAAUGGUAGAAGAACCCAGAACUAAUGAACCUCAGCAGCCUACCUUCAACCAUCCUCAAACCAAUAACAGAAAAACUGGAGAAAGAGGAAGGAGAACCGGGGGAGAAGCAGAACCGGAGGCCAGGAUUCAUGAAAGAAGAGUAAGAGAGCUGAUAGAAAAUGAUGAGGCCAACAGUUAUUCUGUCGAAACAACCAAGAGGACGGAAAGUGAAGCGUGGGAAGAGGGAUGUCACCUAGAGAAGAGACCCAGACAAGAAGAAGAAAAUGUAGAUUAAAAAUUGCAGAAGCUGAGGAAACAGCUCCUAGCUGAGUUGGGAGCGAAGGAUGUGGUUAGGAAUGAGUUAAUGGUGUUUGUUUCAUAUGAUCUCAUGGUAGUUUGGUCUACUACUUUUAUAACUAUGAUAUAAUUCAUUUUAUUAAAAAAAAUCAAAUCAAUUUUUAAAAAUAAAUAAAAAAUUAUUAAAAAAUAAAAAUAUUAAAUUGAAUUCUUAUAAAAUUUAAAGGCAGAAUAAGGUUAUAUCUGCCCAUUUCUAAAAAGCAAUAGAGAGCCAUAUUUACAUCAAUUUUGAGGCCAUUUUGAUUUCUAAAAUUAGGGCAAAAGUGCAAUAGAGAUUUAGUGCAGGUAAGAGUUAUAUUGUUGGCAAUGAAAUAAAUCACGAAAAGGAGGAAAAUAAUGCAGAAGAAGAGAAAAAAAAAUUAAUUAAAUAAUAAAAAUAAUUUAAUUUUUUAAUAUAUUUUUAACAGUAUAAAUAAAUAAAAUUAGGUGAAAUAACUUUUUUAUUGACAAAAAUAAAAGGAAGAGGCAUUUUAAUAAAUUCUUAAAAAUUGCUUAUAAAUAAUAGUAAUAUCUAUGAUCACAAUCAUAAAUCUCCCAUUCCUUUUUGGAUUUGCGGAUUUUAUUUUAUUGCCUUAAUUGAUAUCUGGGUCUUCCUCUUGUUUGCAUGCCAUAUUUUGGGUGGCUUGACGGUGGGUGGUUGUUGGGACGGCGAUCGUGACUUCUAUCUUUGGUAUAGUCGGUGGCAAGCGGUGGAUGUCGAUGCCUUCUGGUGCAUUGGGCUCAAAGCUUUAGGCUUAGUAGACUUCUUUUGUGGGUUGCUUUUGGCAUUCUAUGGGCUUAUAGUAUUUGCCCAGUUUUGAUCUUUCAAUGCAAUUUGCAUAAUUGAAAAAAAAAAAAAAUCAAUGGCUUUAGCUUUUAGUGUUCGUUCUUAAAAAUUUCUGUUAAAUAAAUGUUAUUUUGAAUUUUUUUUUCUUAAUAAAAAGAGAAAAAAUAACUAAAAAUUAAAUAAUUGAAAUAAUUUUUUAUUUGAUUUCAUCCGAUUUUUAUUACCCUAAAUUUUUAUUUUUUUAUUAGUAAUUGAAUCUGAAUUAAAAAUAAUUAUUUAAUAAGAUUAAUUUAAAUGGUUUCUCAUAUUUAUGAAAAUUCUAUAAAUUAAUUUCUUAUAUCAAGAAAAUUUUAAAUUUUUUUAUAAUAAUUAAUAGUUAAAUUAAUGGAAGGAUCAAUUAAUAAUUUUUUUAAAAUAUUACAAAUAUUUUAAUAUAUUUUUAAAUAUAAAAGUACUAAUUAAUAAGUUUUUUAUAUGUAGGAAUUAAGUAGUAAAUUUUUAAUAAUAAAAUAAACUGAAAAUACUAAAUUUUAUUUUUUAUUUAAAUUUAUUUUUAGAGAGUAAAUUUAAAUCAAAAUUUAAAAUUGAAUAUAUUUAAUUUUCGGGUAUAACUUAAAAAAAAACUUUAUCUUUAAUUUUUUUGAUAAAAUACUGAAAAUACUCAAUUAAUUAUUAAUUGAGAAAUAAUAAAAAAAUGUAAUUAAUAAAAUAUAAACAUUAAUAUAAAAUAAUAUAAAAUCUUAGUAAUUUAAACUCUUUGUAAACAUUAAAAUAAAUAGUAAGAUUGUGUUUUUUAAAUGAUUAUUUAAAUAUAUAAACUUUAAAUAUAAUAGUUUCAAUUUUUAUUUUUUUGUAAAAAUGAAUUAUUAUAAAAUCUAUAAUAAUAAAAUAAAUAUAAAAUAUGUGAAAAUAUAAUUUAUAACAAAUUAUAAUAUUAUUUUGAAAUUAGCUAAUAUUAAUAUUCUAAUUGAUUAAAUUUAUUUUUAAAUUAUGUAAUUGAACUAACAAUAAAAUCUAGUAGUUUUAUAUUUUUUUAUCCAAUUUAAAAAUUAUCAAUAAAAAUAAUUUAAUGUUAUCUAUAAAUUAACUAUAAAAACCAUGUUGAAAAUAAUUAAUAUUUAUAAAUUAAAAUAUUAUGUUAAAAAUUUUUAGAACAAAAAGGUAUACAGAAAAUAAUAAAAAUAAUAAAUAAACUAUCCUAAUUAUCUUAAAACUUAAUUUAACACAUUAAAAAUAAUUUUUACUGAUAUAAAUUAUUUUUUAUGACUAUAUUAAAUAUAUAAAAAAAUAAUUAUAUGAUUACUUUAUUAUUCUAUUAUUUUCUAAAAAAAUAAUAUUAAUAUUAUUAAAAUUAUUGAUUAUUAUCUUAUAAAUUUAAAUUUUUUAUUUUAUAAUUUAAUUUUUUUUUUAAAAUAAAGCUAAAAUUCCAUAAAAUAAAAGGGAUAUCAUCCCAAAUAAAGAAACGAUUAUACUGAUAGAUUCUCUAACGAAAAUAUGAACAGUUCGAGUAGUAUUACGACGAACCCAUCUAACAGUUUAGAGAGAUUUACAAUCAUUUAAAAUCAAAUCCCUGCAUAAUAUAAUUUGACAAAUAUACUCCUGAAGUGUAUGUCAAAAUCUCUGCAUAAGAUAAUUGCUACUCCUUCUUUUUCAUCUCUCGAACAUAAAUCAUUAAAGUUUCUCGAACAAAGUCACAGAAAGAGUUUCUACGAGAUAAAAUUCGAAUAAGAUUAUAAGACUGACGUUAUCGUUGCGAUUCCGGAAACUCAUAAUAACUAAUAAAUCUCCAUUGAACAUGACCUUUCAAAACAAUCGAAUUAAUAAAAUUUGAAAAAAAUCCAACUAUAGAAAUAGGCACAUGGCUCUUCCACAUUAACGAAACCUCUCAUUUCAAUUCUUGUUUAUUGACCGAAAAACAAUCAUCUUAAUAUAAAAAGUUAUGAAAAAAUUUUAUACGAUAAUUAAGAGUUUUUAUUUUCAUUAAAAAUAAAAUAUUCGAUUUAUAACUAGAAAGGAUUAACUGUUUGAUUUUUUAAUAUUUAUAUAUAUACCUCAUAAUUUAAACAUUUAUUUAAUUAAUUUAAAUAAAUUGAGCUAAUAAAAAUUAUUAUUCACUUUAAAAUUUAAAUACAAUUAUAAAUAAUUAAAGUAACAACUUAAUAAUUUUUUAUAGUUACAUAAAGAAGUUUUUAAAUUAUAUUAAAAUUGUUAGAUUUUUUUUAUGUUAUUGAUAGUGGAUUCUUAAAAUUAUUAUAAUCAAUUUAAUAAAUAUUUUAUAAUUUUAAUUUUAUAAAUUUAGAUUUAUUAUCUAAUAAUUUAAUAUUAUUAUAAUUAUUUUAAUAUUUUAAGUUAAAAAAUAAUUUCUCGUUAUAUUAUCAUUUAUUACCUUAUAAUUUCUAAUAUCAAAUUUUGAAUUUUUUACUACUUAUGUAUAUCCUAAAAUUUACAUAAUUAUUUAUCAAUUUUAAAAUAAUUUUAAUAAUAACAAUUAUUUUUAUUUUAAAAGUAAAAUAUAAUUGUUAUAAUUAAAAGAUCAGCACAUUAUAUAAUUAUUUUAUAUUAUCAAAACUAUUAUUUUAUAUUCUUUUUAUAAUUAAUUAAUAUUUAAUUCUAAUUUUUGAUAUAAUUAUUAAUAAUUAAAAGAACNNNNNNNNNNNNNNNNNNNNNNNNNNNNNNNNNNNNNNNNNNNNNNNNNNNNNNNNNNNNNNNNNNNNNNNNNNNNNNNNNNNNNNNNNNNNNNNNNNNNNNNNNNNNNNNNNNNNNNNNNNNNNNNNNNNNNNNNNNNNNNNNNNNNNNNNNNNNNNNNNNNNNNNNNNNNNNNNNNNNNNNNNNNNNNNNNNNNNNNNNNNNNNNNNNNNAAAAAAAAAAAAAAACAAUAAUUUAAAAAUAAAUAGGAAAGAGUGAAAACGAAAACUACAUUUAAAAAAAUAUAUGGAUAAACUUUAAAAAUAUAUAUUCAAGCACGGAGUGGGUUUCAACUAACCUCUCUCAUUUAAAUAAUAAAAAUAAAUUCAACUAAAUUUAAAACUAUCAAUAUUAAGGCUGGAUUUAUUUGUUUUAACAUAAAUAUUUAUUCAGAAAAUAAUAUUUUAAAAUAUUAUUUCUCUUUAUUUCAUUGGGAUUACAAUUUAAUUCGAAAAAUCUGUACUUGAUCCAAAAUGACUCAAAUAUAAAUUAGGAGUGAGUAUUUGAUCGAUUUAAAAUCGAAUCAAAUCAAAUAAAUUGAAAUUUUAAUAUUUAUAAAAAUCAAACAGAAUCAAUUUUAGUCAGAAAUUGAAUCGAAUCGAAACGGUCUUAUUUAGUUUGAUUCGAUUUGAUCAGUUUAAAUUUUUAAUAAAUUUUUUAUUUUUAUACUUUCUUUUUAAUAUUUUAAAAUUUAAUUAGAAUAUUUUAACUUUAAUAUAUGAUCUAAUUUUUUUACAUUAUUAAAAAUAAUAUGCGAUAAUUACUAAUCGAUUUGGUUCAAUUUUUUUAAUUUUUUAUUAAAAUCGAACCGAAUCGAAAUAAUAAAAUUUUUAAAAUUAAAAAUUAAAAUCAAAAUAAAUAAAAACCGAAUCAAUAUUUUAAAUUAAAAAAAUGAGAUAAACACUUGAAGAAAAAGAAGAAGAAGUCAUGAUAAACAAGGCUCUUGUGAAAAUGCAUGCCAAAUUGGGGGAAGCAUGCUGCUAAUGCUUCACAAGUGUGAUGAUGGUGCUUGCUUAGUGACAACGAUUGGAACCAAAACUCUUUAUUUUUAUUUAUUUUUAUUUGACAAACACAACUUAAUUUGGUUCUCUUUGUAUUGUCUUUUGCUUGAAAAAUUGUCUUCCCUUUAGGACAAAUGUCCCAAUGCUCCCCAUUAAUAUUAAAUUCUCUAAUUUUGUGGACUUGGAUUUUGAAUGGCCCAAUUUCAUAAAUUUCUCUACCUACUGUGUUCAUGGGUGUAAGCAUAACCAUUGCUUCCAUAUUCCUCUCAAUAUCCUUAGAAUGCGAUGCCUAUCAAAGAUACUUUAAUUUCCUUCGUACAACCAAUAUUGACUACAUUUACGUAUCGACUACAAUUAACGAAGAAUAUAAAAAUUAAAAAAUAUAAAAAAAUAUCAUGUAAUUUUACUCAUUUUCAUUUUAGAGUCUACUUUUUAAUUUAUAACAAAAAAAUAUCAUAUAUAUCGCAUCGUUAAUAAAAAUUGAUAAAAUUUUAUAUAUUUUUUAAUAUAUUUUUUAAAAUUAAAAGAUUAAUUAAUAAUUUUUUGAAUUUAUUAUGAAUUUUCUUAUAAAAAAUUAUAAUAAAAACAUUAUCUAGAGAAAACGUCCAAUUAAGAAAUGCAUCAUAUGUUUUAAUUCAAUGAUGAUGAAGGGUCUAUGAUUCUUAGAAUGAUCAUGGCUAUACUAGAUUGAUGCUCAGAAAAAAAGAAAAUAAUUGUAAAGUGGAAAGCCCCAUGUAUAAGAAAAAAAAAAACAGGAAGGGCCCACAAAGCACUAACAACCUCAAACAGGUCACCAACAUGGCAUAAAGAGGAAAGAUAAGAGUGUUUUUGCUUUUGAUAAAGGCAAGAUUGGCCUUUAAAAAUUGACAUAUUUUGAUUUAGGACUCUCUCCUCUUAUUUUCUUGCCUAAAACAAGGACACUUUUUUUUAUCAAACUUAUCCUGUUUAAUCUUUAAAAGCCUAUGCAUCCUCAUCCUCUGGGCCCCCCUACCCUCCAGUUGGGUGGUCAGUGGGCCCUUUUCACCAUGUGAACUUCUUCCUCCAUCAUGGCAUCUUUGUACACUCUAGACCCCACCUCACCACCACCACCGGCUCUCAUCAUUCCUCCUCACAAAAUCAAUCAAUCUUCCCAGCAUCACCACGUGGUCUGCCACCACACUGGAUCAUCAUGUAAUAAAUGAAAAAAAAUUUUCGUUAAUUGAUUUUUUAUUUUAAAAACUUCAUUAAAAAUUUAUUAAUUAAUUGUUAAUAUUUUAUUUUAUUUUAAAUUUUCUAUUAUAAAAAAAUUAACUAUUAUUUUUUAAAAAGAUCUAUUAAUUAAUUUUUUUAUAUUAAGGGUAUUCUAAAUUUUUUUCUAAUAAUUAACGAAUAUAGUUAAUAAAAAAAUUAAUUAGUAUAUUUUUAAAAAUUUUUAAAAUGAUUUAAUUAUUUUUUUAAGAAUAAAAAAUUAAUUAAUAAAAUUUUCAAGGAUAAAAUAGUAAUUUUUUCCAAAAAAUAUACCCUCCCCUGCAUUGUUUGUCCAAUCCAAUAAUAUUGACGUGCAUGUGAACAUUUCAUUUACUAUGUUCCCUCAUUAUAUAAAUACCCAGAAUUUGUCAAUUUGGUAAGCAACAAGAGAAAGAGAAAAAAAAACAAACAGCUUUUGAGCUCUUGGGGUUUUCUUUUUGGCUUUGGUUUGUUGAUCUGCUGGUGUGGUGGUGGUUCUUGGUGGCGGUGGUGGUGAUGAUGGAGAAGUGCAAGUCAUACCCAGAAUAUUCAUCGUCUUUCUCUGGAGAAUUUGGGUUCGAAGAUGGAUCAAAUUCGUACAGCUUCAACGGGCCAUGUAAUAAAGGAAACGGAUUUGCAACAUCAAACGAUCCAGAGAUGAAGAGAAAGAAGAGAAUAGCUUCAUAUAAUGUGUUCACCAUGGAAGGGAAGCUUAAAUCUAGCGUAAGAAACAGCUUCAAGUGGAUCAAGAACAAGUUCGGUCCUGGUGAUGUUCGUUAUGGUAUGUGAAUGAUUUCUUUGAAGAUCAAAGAGAAGGGUUUUUUUUUUUUCUAUCUUUGGAAACUUAGAGAAGAGUGCUAUGAUUUUUGUUCUUUUGAUAUUUUUCUUUCACUUGGAAUAUGCUUGCCAUGCAUGAUCACACGAUAGUUGGGAUCUUUUGUAUGUCGGAGAAAAGGAAAGAAAAGAAAAGAAAAGAAAAGAAAAGAAAAGAAAAGAAAAGAAAAGAAAAAUCCCUUCUUUCCUUUCAUUUCUUUCUUGCUCUUAAACUCCUACAUAUUUUCCCAAGUUCUGUAUUUAUUGCACACCUUUGGAUCGCCUUCCAUUUAGAAGAAGAAGAAGAUGACGAUCAUAAUCAUAAUCACAAUUUUAAUUACCACUGAAAAAUAACUUUCAUCAUAAUUUUUUAAAAUAUUUCUUAAACAGUCAUUAAUUAAUUUACAAAUAAUAUUAUUUAUAAAUAUCAAAAUCAAUUCAUCAAUCCGAUUCUCAUCUGGUUCACGGUUCGAACCAGAACCAGAGGAAGCAAAGGUGAAGAAGCAUCCACAAGGUGCAUGAAGAAGAAGAAGAAGAAGAGGAGAUGGUUUGUUAGAAGGUCGCUGUUAAGAUGAGGCGUCCAUUUUAUGCCCAUAUUAUUUGAAAAUCAGGAAUUAGGUGCCAAUCCCCAUCACAUUAAUUUCCAACAUUUUCUUUUUUUUUUAAUCAAUUUUCUUAAUUUUUCCUUUCACAUUCAACAUAUUAUAU